Fukomys damarensis (Damara mole-rat) is the source of this 2472-nucleotide long non-coding RNA. RefSeq lists it as uncharacterized. The transcript has 3 exons. The record is from RefSeq and is a predicted model, not a curated record. NCBI's taxonomy places the organism in Eukaryota, Metazoa, Chordata, Mammalia, Rodentia, Bathyergidae.
UGUGCAAUUCUGGCCAAUGAGCGCUGGGAAGAGGCGUAACAGUGCAUACUUGAAGAUUCUCUGCUGUCUUCGGAAACAGCAGGAGGAAGGGCUUGGUAGGGUGCGGGGCGGUGCUGUAGCCCUUUUGCUCCGAGAAGGAAAGCAGCCAACCCCUGAGACAGCUUGUCAUGUGCUCGACAAUCCCAUCCACCUCAGGACCUUCAGACAUGCUGUUCCUCCCCGCUCUGUGUGAUUCGCAUCUACCGCGCCUUCAGGUCUCCGAUCAGACACUGCCAAGUGAAAACACAUCCAGAUUCAGGGAUCGAACUCAGGACCCUGAGCUUGCAAGGCAGGCGGCGGAACCACUGAGCUAAAUCCCUGGCCCCCAUUUGCCUAUUCAUCGUGUUCCAAGUCCAUACUGCACCGUAUCACCAUCAUCACCUCCAUUUUACAAAUGAGGAGACAUCAAAGAGCCCGCCGAGGUAAGUGUGCACUUCGCUAGUUAGCAGAAGAGCUGGAAACGGAACUCGGGAGCUCGGCUUCACGUGCUUUCAAAAACCUUCUCAGGCUGAAAUAGUUCAAAGAACAAACAUUUUUGUCACCACCUCCAAGCAGCUUUGCACGUAGUCUUGGAAACAGGAAAAACAGCUGCUCCACAUUGCGCAUGCGCAGAUAACCAAGCCCCCCCCCUAGAAUCUCCAAUUCCCCUAUCUCACCACUAGAGGGCGCGACCCGAUUUUUUGCCCCGGACCAUCAACCAAUCGUCCAAGGUGUACUCACUGUGCAGCUCAAAAGGAAGGUACAAAGUUCACUAAACCAGCCUCGGUGCAAGACUUCAAAUAUCUUCUGGAAAGAGAGACACCUCCUACUUCCUGACCAAUUCCUCUCAUCUCUGGAAGGCCUAAGAAGUCCCUCCUAAGUCUGACCCAGCCUAGUACAACCCAGGUUCUUUGUUCUUCGGUUUUUGGAAACAAGGAACAGAUAAGUGUGUGGCAUCCACAUCGCAGCCACUGUUCAGAGACGCUUCUGAGAACAAGGUGUAGAGCUCUGAGGUCGUCGGCUUUUUGUUUCCCUUCUUUGCAAGUUACAGGCAUCUCUGAUCUCUCUCUGGUUUCUCUCUGUCCCUCAGAACCACAAUGGACUUUGCCUCCAAUAUCUUAGCCAAGGUUAGAUUUACUUCCUGGUUUUGGAAUGUUACCCUGUUAAUGUAUCCAAGCAAGAAGCAAUCACUUGGCACAGUGAUUCGUCUGUAUCAACUUGAUGGUAGCAAGGCAAUCGGUACAGAACAGACAAUGAUGCAAUAGUACACAACAUGCUUGGUAUUUAAAUUUUAAUGCAAGGCAACAAUGCACUUCUGCUUUGAUUAAAGCUGCCAGGCUUAGAUGAACAAAGUCUGGGAAGCAACAGAAAGAUAAGAAACAACUGAUUUGUUAGGUUUGGGGGAUCAAUUAUUGUUUUUUCAUUAUUGGUAUAAUAAUGAGGGCUUUAAGCAAUGGGUAAAAUCUUUUAUUCACUCAUAAAUUAAUGGAGCACAUAUCACAGGGCCAGGGAUUUAGCUUCGUGGUUCUACUGCCUGCCUUGCAAGUGCAAGGACCCAAGUUCGAUCCCCGGUACCAAACAAACAAACAUAUCAUAUGUAAGACAGUACCCUGCGUGGUGGUACAUGCCCAUAGUUCCAGCACUUUGAGAGGGUGAAGCAGGAGAAACACAGUUGGGUUUAAUUCCAAGUAUCACAAAACAAGCAAACUACGGGCUGAGUAUUAUAAAGAAGGCAAAAUCAGCUACAGAGCCUGCUGUUCAGAGUAAUAGUCAUCCACAUAGUAAAAGUGCUUACCACGUCAUAGGUACUAGAUAUAAUCUCUACUGUACUAAGAAAGUGAGAAACAGGGGCUGCAGGUUUAGCUCAGGGGCACCUCACCUGCCUGGCAAGCACAAGGUCCUGAGUUCAACCCCUAUUAUGAGGAGGAGGGGAGCAGAGAGGUUAACCAGCUUAUCAAGGUCAUACAGAAUAAAAGCAGAACCAGAGUUGGAGCUCAGCCACUCCAGAGUGCAAGAACUCCAUCAUAACCAUUACUCUGCCCUGCCUCUCAGGGUAGCCCAGUGAGAUAGAGAUAAGAUACUUUCAAUCAUUCAGCAAAUAUUUAUUGAGCUCCUACUACAUUAGGCACCAGAAUGUGCUGGAAAUGCACUGCUCCGCAAGACAGCACAGCCCCUGCCCCCACAGAGCGCAGAGCCACAGUUACAGCAUUAUGGGAGUGCACAGGAGAAAAGAGAACGCCCCCUUAUGAAGCUGUUUAGGAAAGCACCACUUCCCUACACUCUACAUUCCCUUCCUAGCACAGCAUCGAUCUGGAGGGGAAAGGACAGAAGAGGAGGGAAACAGUACCAAAAGAAAAGUAAUGAGAAAUGCACUGAUUCAUCCAGCAAGCAACUGAAGAGAUUUUAAAAUAAUGGAGGUGGGCAUGGUGGUGCAGGCUUCUAAUCCCAGCACUC